UACGUAGGGGGCGAGCGUUGUCCGGAAUCAUUGGGCGUAAAGCGCGUGUAGGCGGCUCGAUAAGUCCGGUGUGAAACCUUGGGGCUCAACCCCAAGCCUGCACUGGAUACUGUCGAGCUAGAGUCCGGGAGGGGAGAGCGGAAUUCCUAGUGUAGCGGUGAAAUGCGCAGAUAUCAGGAAGAACACCGAUGGCGAAAGCAGCUCUCUGGGACGGUACUGACGCUGAGGCGCGAAAGCGUGGGGAGCGAACAGG
RNAcentral lists this ribosomal RNA (253 nucleotides) under uncultured bacterium. Its description in RNAcentral is "partial 16S ribosomal RNA". It matches the Rfam family "Bacterial small subunit ribosomal RNA", at positions 524 to 776 of the family's 1533-position model. The record is from RNAcentral.